GACCAGCGGCGACCACAGUCCCUCACACGGGGACCAGGACCAGCGGCGACCACAGUCCCUCCCAAGAGGACUAGGACCAGCAGUGACCACGUUCCCUUCCACAGGGAACAGGCAGCGGUGACCACAGACCAUUCUCACGGGGACCAGGACCAGCGGUGACCACGCCUCAAAAAGGGAAAGUGGGAAUGAAGAAAGCCAUGACAUGGGAUAACCACCGUCAGUGGCAGGUCUCCGGCCUCCCUAUGCAGCAUGGUGACCCCCAGGCUUAUCAAGAUAUAAAAGUCCAUCCUGGAGGGCACAUUCGGCUCCGCAGGCUUCUCCCAGUCUCUCUACAGCUUAUGAGUGGUUGAACCAGAUUCAGAACUGCUCUCCAGAGGACUUUUGGAAAUUUGGGGAUGGAGAAGGAAAUUUGUUGUCAGAAUGAUUAAGGAAUGUCAUCAAUAUUUCACAACUAGGCCCAGAAGUUUUAACACCUUGCAACGUAUGGGACAUCCCUGCCUAAAGAAAAAAUGCUUUUCCCCAAAUGCCAGUAGAUACCUGUAUUAGUCAGGGUUCUCCAAGGAAACAGAACUAAAGGGAAAUUCAUAUUCGUAAA
Molecule: long non-coding RNA, 595 nt
Organism: Pan troglodytes (chimpanzee)
Lineage: Eukaryota; Metazoa; Chordata; Mammalia; Primates; Hominidae
Exons: 3
Source: RefSeq, a predicted model, not a curated record